ACAGUGGUAGUUCAGUGGUAGAAUUCUUGUCUUCGAUGCAGGAAUCUGGGUUCAAAUCUCCAGCCAAUGCA
This 71-nucleotide transfer RNA is filed under the name Loxodonta africana (African savanna elephant). It matches the Rfam family "tRNA". From Rfam's summary of the family: Transfer RNA (tRNA) molecules are approximately 80 nucleotides in length. Their secondary structure includes four short double-helical elements and three loops (D, anti-codon, and T loops). The record is from Rfam by way of RNAcentral. Lineage: Eukaryota; Metazoa; Chordata; Mammalia; Proboscidea; Elephantidae.